RNAcentral lists this ribosomal RNA (451 nucleotides) under Horismenus sp. RDB-1999. Its description in RNAcentral is "eukaryotic LSU rRNA". Lineage: Eukaryota; Metazoa; Arthropoda; Insecta; Hymenoptera; Eulophidae. The record is from RNAcentral.
CCUGAGAAACCCAAAAGAUCGAAUGGGGAGAUUCAUCGCCAGCGUGGCUGGCUUCCGUGCGGCUCGCGAUGGCCGGGACCUCGGUCUCGCGUCACGCGGCCGCUGCGGUAUGUCCGGCUACGUCGGCGUGCACUUCUCCCCUAGUAGGACGUCGCGACCCGUUGGGUGUCGGACCGAUGGCCGUUCGGUCGCCUGUCUCGUCGCGUUCACGCGUGCACGUGGCAGACCGCAAUGGUCGAGCGUCCGGCUGCCCGGCGGUAUAGAACGCUAUUGAACGGUAAUGAGCCGCAUUAAGUGCGUUCAGGCUCGUCGGCAGGCUCGUCUCGCCCGGAUUUACGGACCUAGUGCCGUUGCCGGGUGCUUGGCGGGCCGUUAGUCGACGAUGUCCUCGGACUGGCUCUACAAUUCGAAAGGAUUACCGGUCGGCGACGCUACUGCUUUGGGUACUUUC